GAAACCUGCCUUUCAGGCAUCCUCUCCUAAAACUUUCACGGGCUGGUCUUCGGAUCGGCCCUUUUUUUGUGCGUCA
This 76-nucleotide small RNA is filed under the name Sphingobium sp. TCM1. RNAcentral's name for it is "Makes More Granules Regulator RNA (mmgR)". It matches the Rfam family "Makes More Granules Regulator RNA (mmgR)". Rfam says of the family: SuhB later renamed mmgR (makes more granules regulator) was a putative non-coding RNA found multiple times in the Agrobacterium tumefaciens genome and related alpha-proteobacteria. The record is from Rfam by way of RNAcentral. Lineage: Bacteria; Pseudomonadati; Pseudomonadota; Alphaproteobacteria; Sphingomonadales; Sphingobiaceae.